RNAcentral lists this ribosomal RNA (452 nucleotides) under uncultured bacterium. RNAcentral describes it as "bacterial SSU rRNA". It matches the Rfam family "Bacterial small subunit ribosomal RNA", at positions 365 to 807 of the family's 1533-position model. The record is from RNAcentral.
UUCGCAAUGCCCGAAAGGGUGACGAAGCGACGCCGCGUGUGGGAAGAAGGCCUUCGGGUUGUAAACCACUGUCGGGAGUUAAGAAAUGCAAGGAUAUUAAUAGUGUCUUUGUUUGACUAAGGCUCCGGAGGAAGCCACGGCUAACUCUGUGCCAGCAGCCGCGGUAAUACAGAGGCGGCAAGCGUUGUUCGGAAUUAUUGGGCGUAAAGAGCACGUAGGCGGCUAUGUAAGUCGGUUGUGAAAGCCUUCCGCUCAACGGAAGAACAGCAUCCGAUACUACAUGGCUUGAGUGCGGGAGGGGAGAGUGGAACUUCUGGUGGAGCGGUGAAAUGCGUAGAUAUCAGAAGGAACGCCGGCGGCGAAAGCGGCUCUCUGGCCCAUAACUGACGCUGAGUGUGCGAAAGCUAGGGGAGCAAACGGGAUUAGAUACCCCGGUAGUCCUAGCCGUAAAC